CUACGGGCGGCAGCAGUGAGGAAUAUUGCACAAUGGGGGGAACCCUGAUGCAGCAACGCCGCGUGGAGGAUGACGCAUUUCGGUGUGUAAACUCCUUUUAUAUGUCAAGAAAAUGACGGUAGCAUAUGAAUAAGCACCGGCUAACUCCGUGCCAGCAGCCGCGGUAAUACGGAGAGUGCAAGCGUGUACUCGGAAUCACUGGGCGUAAAGGACGCGUAGGCGGGUUGGAAAGUCAGGUGUGAAAUCCUACAGCUUAACUGUAGAACUGCACUUGAAACUUCUAAUCUAGAGUAUGGGAGGGGGAGAUGGAAUUAGUGGUGUAGGGGUAAAAUCCGUAGAUAUCACUAGGAAUACCUAAAGCGAAGGCGAUCUCCUGGAACAUUACUGACGCUAAGGCGUGAAAGCGUGGGGAGCAAACAGGAUUAGAUACCCCGGUAGUC
This 440-nucleotide ribosomal RNA is filed under the name uncultured bacterium. Its description in RNAcentral is "partial 16S ribosomal RNA". It matches the Rfam family "Bacterial small subunit ribosomal RNA", at positions 339 to 795 of the family's 1533-position model. The record is from RNAcentral.